UAGGGGGCGAGGACGAGGACUAGCGAGUAGCAGCGCGGAGGCCGUCCCCGAUGUUGGUCGCAGGACUCGCACGCCGAUGUAGACUACAUGCGCUUGUCGAGGAUAACUUAUACCCAGCAGCCAGUGAGAAGAGAAGCAUCAGCCCUAGCGACAGAAGCAGCGAGCGGGGCGGCGGAGGCGGCGGAGGCGGCGGCGGAGGAGGCGGCGAAGGAGGCGGCGGCGAGGAUUCGUGGACACCGAAGAAAGCUUCAAACCUGUUUGAAGCUUUCGAGGUCGGAUUCAUGGAACUAUGAACCUGGACUCGUUGUCUUUUACUUUAUCACAAAUCAGUUAUUUGGUUGCGAAUUUGUGUAAGAAAAACUUUUGGGACAGCUGCCGGGAAAUAUCGGUUUUGGUACGGUGGAAGGGUCUGGAGGCAGACCGACAUUUGUUGCGCUGUUUGUUCUCACACAUCGACCUUUCGACUGGAGAACCACCAGAACCAAACUCCAAGGACUACUACCAAGUACAGUUGCUGAAACAAGAGUGUAACAGCCUCUUGCUCAAACCAUCAUUUGUUUCAAAUCUCUGUUUUGCCAUCGACUAUCCAUUCCAUCGAAAAAACCAAAUCUUACCAUCACCAAAAUUUUUUCAAAAUUUACGUAAAAUACUUGGAUUAUCAUUGGUGCAUGAGGUUGUUUUUGCUAUAGCUUUACAGCGCUCACAGAACUCAGAGAUAUCUGCUUGUGCAACUGAACACUUAAAGAAGCAGUUAUCUGAGCUCAUAAAGAAUCACGUCAAUACUGACGACAAUAAGAAGCAAAAGGAAGGAGGUCUCCAGGAUACUUCACCAGAAAUUUUACAGCUUAUACUAACUUAUAUACCAGAAACAGCAAUCGAUAAUAAGUUAUCCUUAGAUACUAAGGAAACAUUUUUAAAUAGCUUAAGACGUGAUUUUCCCCGUGAACUGGUACCAGUGGUUUUAAGACCACUUCUGUAUCCAGGUGACGGGGAAGUCUCAGAAGAUAGCACUGACUCAAUCAUGGCUACAAAUCAAAUGGAUAAUACCAAUUUGGUAGAGCUGAUUAUGGAAUUAGGCUAUGGUUUUACUAGCAGCGUAGAAGAAUGUCGAAACAGCUUAGCGAGCCUCGGCGCUCGAGAACUAACCCCUCGAUGCGUGGCCAAAAUUCUCGGGUACAUGGCCCGCACCUGCAGUGGUCUGGAAGAUGCCGGGGGGUUGCACUCCUUUUGGGAAAACUCCGGUGCAAAUCAGGAUAACAAAGAAAAAUCGGGUGAUGCUCCAAUCACGUGGAACAUAGAAGUUUUUGUACAAGCUGUCAAAGAAGUAAAUGCAUCGUUAUCAUGGAACGAAGUACUAUCAAAACUCGAUCACCCAGAAUUUAUAAUCAAAGAUCGUCAGGCUCUCAACCUGGUGAUAAGUGCUAUAAGAAUGGGUUUGCAAAGUCAAGGCUACCCACCUGAUGUGUUCCCUGUGGAGGUAUUUUAUCGCCAUUGGGAGAACUUGAAGGGACAGUUUUCAAUCGUUCAGCAUAUCAUAAAGCAUCCGGAUAUCUUUUGCUUCGCCGAUUAUGCAUACCAUUCUGUCACGAUUGACGUUCUUAAGGCAGCACCAGAGAUUGACAACAAAGAAGCACUAACCUGGAGAUCUCUGAAUGUCGUUGAAUUAUUGCUCUACAUGGCUGAGAGAGGUCUACAGGUGGCCGUUCAAGAUUUAUUCAAGUGGCCAAUACAGCACUGUCCGGAUGUACUUGUGCUAUCGUUAUUGCAAAUCCAACCACCGAUUACGAUGUUCAGACAAGAGCUUUUAAGUGCCCUUAUGCCAAUAUUUUUGGGCAACCAUCCUAAUAGUGCAGUAAUCCUGCAUCACGCAUGGCAUACCAACAAUGUCAAGAUCAAAACCAUCAUCAUGCACUCAAUGGCUGAGUGGUACCUGCGAGGCGAACAUGAUCAAACACGACUUUCACGCAUACUUGACGUUGCCCAGGAUCUUAAAGCUUUGUCAGUCCUUCUUAAUGCUCAGUCUUUUCCGUUUGUCAUCGAUUUGGCCUGCUUAGCUUCACGUCGAGAGUACCUAAAACUUGAGAAAUGGCUCACAGACAAAAUCAGAGAUCAUGGCGAAGCCUUUGUUGCGGCCUGUGUCAAGUUUCUACAAAGAAGGUGUCCCCAAGUUUUGGGAUCUGGAAUUAAGGAAGAUCCAACCAUGUCCAAAGCUAGUCAACUACCUCAGGAAACUCUUACAACCAUCUUACACUGCCUGCAAGUUUGUGUUGGGAGUGUAUCGCAAGAGUGUGCCGAUGCAAUUUUGGGUAUGGUACAAAAUUGCAGUUUGAUGUUGAGCAAAGGAACGCUUAGCAGAUUACCACCGCCUGUUCUCAGACAUAGACCACUUGAUACUUUCAAUCCAGCUUUAAGCGGACAGCUAUUCUCCACAAAGCAAGUGGACACCUUAUCAAAUCUCAACUCAAGUUUGGCCUCAAUGAGUUUGAGCACCAGCCUUGGUCCACCUAACAACUCUGCCUUCAAUUUGCCGGGCACCUUGGGUCCUUUAGUAUCGGCGCCAGGCUCGCCAUCUCGUCUCAUGGGCCCGUCGCCAUCUCCAUUUCCAAUGUUGCCACUCUCCUCACAGUUGCAUUCGGGUCCAGUGGGCACCCAAGGCUCCUCUGUAAUACCUGGGGGAGCGGCAAUUGGUGGUCUCAACAGAAUGGGUCCACCAUCUGGCAUCGAAAAAACUCGUAUUCCCGAAACUUCAAACCUAUUUCCCGAUAUGAGCCAAAAUGUAUCCAAGGAGAUUGAGGACGAAGCCAACGGAUACUUCCAGCGAAUCUACAAUCAUCCACCACACCCGACUUUGUCGAUCGAUGAGGUCCUGGAUAUGCUCAAGAGGUUUCAGGACUCGACCAUCAAAAGAGAACGCGAUGUCUUCCACUGUAUGCUGCGCAACCUCUUUGAAGAGUAUAGAUUCUUUCCUCAGUACCCUGAUAAGGAAUUACACAUCACGGCUCAGUUGUUCGGGGGUAUAAUCGAACGAGGCCUAGUGACUAGUUAUAUGACACUCGGCUUGGCUCUGCGCUUCGUUCUUGAUGCCUUGCGUAAACCGGAGGGUAACAAGAUGUACUACUUUGGUAUUGCUGCUCUGGACCGCUUCAAGUCACGCCUCAAGGAGUACACAACCUACUGCGACCAUGUACGUAGCAUUCCGCAUUUCAGUGAGUUCCCGCCUCAUCUCAUCGAGUACGUAGAGUUUGGAUUGCAAGGUCAAGAGCCACCCUCACGCCCUCAGGGCCAAGUAUUGCCCAAAUCCUUGGCCGCAAUGCUCGCGCCAGCUACAACGCCUUUCAAGACUAUUGCGACGACUACAGUUACCACAAGUACAACCCAAGCUAAGCCUUCUACAACGCCGACCACAUCGCUUUCCGCCAGACCUUCUAUUGCUAAUGCCACAAACAUUGAUACCCUGCUAGUGGCUACAGACAAAGAAGAGAAAAUCACUGCACCACCCGAGACUUUACAAGAUAAAACAGCUUUUAUAUUCAACAAUUUGAGUCAGCUCAAUCUGCAGCAAAAAUGUGAUGAAAUCAGAGAUAUUGUUACCGAGGAAUACUGGCCGUGGAUGGCGCAGUAUCUUGUGAUGAAGAGGGCGAGUAUUGAACUGAACUUUCACGCUCUUUACUCCAAUUUUUUGGAUUGUCUAAAGGUGUCUGAAGUAAAUAGAAUGGUAACUCGGGAAACCUUCAGGAACAUAAAAGUAUUGCUUCGAAGUGAUAAAGGCAUCGCAAACUUUUCGGAUCGUUCUUUGCUGAAGAAUCUUGGUCACUGGUUGGGUAUGCUUACCCUUGGCCGAAACAAACCAAUUUUACAAGUUGACAUAGACCUCAAAAGCUUGCUAGUUGAGGCUUAUUGCAAAGGUCAACAGGAACUUUUAUACGUCGUGCCGUUUGUUGCCAAGGUUCUCGAGAGCUGUGCGAAAAGUCGAGUUUUUCGCCCGCCAAAUCCUUGGACUAUGGCUAUUAUGAAUGUACUUGCCGAACUCCACCAAGAACCAGAUUUAAAGUUGAAUCUUAAAUUUGAGAUAGAAGUUCUCUGCAAAAACUUGAGCAUUGAUGUGGCUGAAUUAAAGCCUGCGAUUUACUUAAAGGAUCCUGAUAAACUUGUCAAUUUAGAGUACCAGUUAUCGCAGCCAAAUAAAAAACUACAAGAGGUAUCUAAUAAUGUUACCAGUCAGCAACAGCAACAACAACCUCAGCAACAACCACAGGAACAGGGACCCGUCGAAGAUUUAGUAGGACAGAGUCGAGCUGUUCAACAACAGCACCAGCACCAGCAGCAACAGCAACAGCAACAACAACAACAGCAGCAACAACAGCAGCAUCAACAACAACAGCAGCAACAACAGCAGCAACAACAGCAGCAACAAGCAGCUCCGGUUAAUACCACACCGUCAUUGCCUACUGGACCACCUGAGCCUCGUUUCAACUACAUGGAUAUAAACGUCACCAGUAUCACCAAUAUUGCUCCGCACAUCACGAUCAACAACAAUCUACCACUUUUUCAGGCACACCCCAACCUUAAGCCAUUUGUUCGACAAGCCGUUGAACGCGCUAUUCAAGAAUGGAUUCAUCCAGUGGUUGAUCGUUCCAUCAAAAUUGCUCUAACUACAACUGAGCAUACUGUAAAAAAGGACUUUGCUCUCGAUCCAGAUGAAUCCAAAAUGCGCACAGCAGCACGUCAAAUGGUCCGCAAUCUCACUGCGGGAAUGGCUAUGAUCACUUGUCGUGACCAGAUCCUAUCUUCUAUAAGCUCAAACCUAAAGAACGCUUUCCUCAUGGCAAUCAUCGGUACCCAACCCACACAGAAAGAUUUAGCGGAGCAAGCCGCGAAUGUUGUUGCUGCAGAUAACAUGGAGCUAGCUUGUGCCUUCGUACAGAAGACUGCUGUUGAGAAAGCCAUUCCCGAAAUGGACAAAAGAUUGCUCAACGAGAUUGAGCUACGCAAAAUUGCCAGACAAGAAGGUAGAAGAUAUUGCGAUCCAUUGGCCAAGUAUCAAGCUGAGCGUAUGCCUGAACAAAUCCGACUAAAGGUCGGUGGUGUGACAGUCCAACAAAUGGCCGUGUACGAAGAAUUCGCUCGCAACAUCCCGGGUUUCCUACCACUUUCCGAACGCGACACUCAAACACUUUUCGUUCCCAAAGCAAUUGCCGAAUCUUCAUUAAUUCAACCUUUUUCUGCAAGUACACCUGCCCCUAUGGCCGUGGCUCCAGCUCAGCAACAAGUCGCAUAUGCCGCUACUGCUGUUGGCAAUGAUGAAGUAGGCUCUUUACUAGAAAAGCUUGCAAAUGAGGUUGAAGUUUUACUGACCACAAUGGGCCCGAGUACGCCGCCUCCGCAGCAUGCGACUCUACACAGUUUGCUCGAAUCAUUAAUUCUGACAAGACGCUCUAGAGAUGCUGGUGCGGCGAUGGUCUUGCUCAAAAAAGCCGUUGAGGGUUUGUUAGAUGGGCCGACGCUUUCAAGUGGCGUCAUGGAUUCCGAGAUCACCAUGAGGUACAGAGAAUUGCAUUUAAGGAUACUUAAAUGUUUGCAACACCCGAGAGGUUAUGGUAUGCAGUGGACAAAUAAGAACAUCACAAGAUGCCUCAUUGAAUGUAGAGAAGAAUUCAGAUAUAAUUUCGAGGCUGUCGAUUGUCUCAUCAGAUCUCAUUUAGUAAGCCUACCUCAGUAUGAUCUAGCAUUGGCCCAAGCCAUGGAAAAUGGUAGCGCAAUGGCUACAGCUUUUACAAUGCAACUAGUCCAAUUGUAUCUAAUCGAUGAGAGACAAACGACUCAUGUUACCGAACCUGAUCUUUUCCACAGUAUUGAAAUACUUGCAAGAAUGUCAGUCCAUAGAGCUCCACCUGAAGGCAUAUCGCUCUACAGAUUAAAUACACUAAUUGAUUCACUGCGUAUCAGUAACGAUCCCACAACACUUACAGACAGAGCGCCAGCAGGUCCCACUGCCCACAUUCACUCUGGAAUCCUCCAAGUAAGAGCGCGUGACUUUGAAGAUCCUCCAGGUUUGGUAGAAAAAACAGAGUACUUACUGCGCGAGUGGGUUACAAUGUAUCACAAUCCGACUCAUGCGCGUGACCCAACAAAAGCUUUUGGUGUCUUUGUCCACCAGAUGAACAUUCAUGGUAUCCUGAAGACCGACGAUCUCAUUACACGCUUCUUCAAACUUAGCACACAGAUGUGCGUGGACCACUGCUAUCGGGCUCUCUCAGAGACGAAUACAGCCCCUUCGGUCGUUCGGGCUAAAUGUUUCCAUACUUUGGAUGCCUUUGUCAGAUUAGUUGCCCUGCUUGUCAAGCAUUCUGGCGACGCAACUAACACUCAUACAAAAAUCAAUUUGUUGAACAAAGUCCUGGGUAUUGUCGCAGGUGUACUUCUUCAGGAUCACGAGAUGCGUGGAGUCGACUUCCAGCAGCUGCCCUACCAUCGAAUCUUUAUUAUGUUAUUCCUUGAGCUGUGCGCACCUGAACCUGUUCUCGAGGCUGUCAACUACCAAGUCCUGACCGCCUUUUGCCAUACUCUGCACAUUUUACGUCCAGCCAAGGCCCCUGGAUUCUGCUACGCUUGGCUCGAACUUGUCUCUCAUCGUGUCUUUAUAGGUCGUAUGCUUGCCAUCACGCCACAGCAACGAUGCUGGGGUAUCUACGCCCAGCUACUUAUUGACCUAUUCAGAUAUCUUGCGCCUUAUCUACGAAAUGCUGAGUUGGCCAAGCCAGUUACACUAUUGUACAAAGGAACGUUACGAGUAUUAUUGGUGCUAUUGCAUGAUUUUCCGGAGUUCUUGUGUGACUACCACUAUGGUUUCUGCGAUGUCAUACCGCCAAAUUGCAUCCAGAUGCGUAAUUUAAUUCUAAGCGCAUUCCCGCGUAACAUGCGUCUACCAGAUCCAUUCACUCCGAAUCUUAAGGUGGAUAUGCUGCAAGAGAUUAGCCUUGCACCGCGGGUACUCACAAACUUUGCCACGUUAAUACAACCUGUAACGUUCAGGAAGGAACUUGACUCAUAUCUUAAAGCUCGUGCACCAGUUACUUUCCUUGGAGAUCUACGCACCAACCUCCAGGUAGUAUCUCAGGAAGCCGGCAUGCGCUACAACAUUCAGCUAAUGAAUGCCCUAGUCCUGUAUGUGGGAACACAGGCAAUUGCUUUCAUCCGUAGCAAAGGUCACACGCCGAACAUGUCGACAAUUGCGCACUCAGCUCAUAUGGAUAUUUUCCAGAAUCUUGCUGUUGAUCUAGACACUGAGGGUCGCUAUCUUUUUUUGAACGCCAUAGCAAAUCAGUUGCGCUAUCCUAAUAGCCACACGCACUACUUCAGCUGCACACUGCUCUAUCUGUUCUCCGAGGCAAACACCGAAGCCAUACAGGAGCAGAUAACUAGAGUUUUGCUAGAGAGACUAAUUGUCAACCGGCCCCAUCCAUGGGGACUACUGAUUACUUUUAUCGAACUCAUAAAAAAUCCGACCUACAAGUUCUGGCAGCAUGAGUUUGUGCAUUGCGCACACGAAAUCGAAAAAUUCUUUGACUCAAUCACCUCGAUUCUGUAAAAGGAUUUUCAGAACAAAAAUAAUAGCUUCUUAUAACUCCAUACAACCUUUCGACGUCAGAGCUUUGUCCGUUCAUCGAAUUAUUAUUACACAUUAUUUGAGUCGGUAGCUCGUUCGUGCAUGGUUCAAAAACAAGUUCAACCAACUCCAGAGCCAGAGAUCCCAGAGUGAUAAGACGUUUUCUUCUUUGUCGACUUUCUUGUACAGUAUAUACGUGAAAAUAAGCGUGUAAAAAGUUGUUGAUCUAGGUGUACCAUACUUCAAACUUUACAAUUUUUUUGGACUCAAAUGAUAAUCGUAUAAAUAUAUACAUAUAUACAUACACUAAUUAUAAGAUUUAAUAUAAGUGAGUAGAAUAGAUAAUACAAUUAAUAUGUUGAUAUUUUAAUAUGAAUAGGCAGAUUUUCGUUGCAUCAGUGAGACAAAAUAUGUAUGAGAAAAAGCAACGAAACUCUUUAAGUCUCCUAAAUCGGGUCUUUCUAAAUAAUGUAUUCACCGAUAGGUGAAUUUAGUAUUGUAUUUUAUACUUUAUAAGCUAUACAAUAAAAGCAAAGACAAUUUUGAAAAAUAUUUGUGAAGAAACAGUGGCAUUCUGCAUAGAAUGCAAUGAUGAACUAUGCUAAUUUUUUUUCUUUAUUUUGAUUUAAGAUAUACAGUAAUGGGUGUUGAUUAUGAUUUGAAGUCAAGUGUAAUGUAAUAUUUAAGUAAACAAAGAGCGAAGUCUUUACAGUACGUCCGGAGCAAAUGCAAGAAGUGUCCCGACGUCUUUCUUGAAGAAAAAUGGUACCCGGAUGUAAUAUUGUACAAAAAAUGUGUUUUCGAUAAGUUUACGCAUGUAAUGCGACAAGAAAAGAAAGAAAACGUUAUGUAAAGAUUUACGAAUGACAUUUAUUAAAUAAGUUAAAAAUUUCUA
This is an RNA transcript of Nasonia vitripennis (jewel wasp), 8501 nucleotides long. It is a transcript of the gene named CCR4-NOT transcription complex subunit 1, with no coding region annotated. Lineage: Eukaryota; Metazoa; Arthropoda; Insecta; Hymenoptera; Pteromalidae. The transcript is spliced from 19 exons. The record is from RefSeq and is a predicted model, not a curated record.